This 476-nucleotide ribosomal RNA is filed under the name uncultured bacterium. Its description in RNAcentral is "bacterial SSU rRNA". It matches the Rfam family "Bacterial small subunit ribosomal RNA", at positions 33 to 507 of the family's 1533-position model. The record is from RNAcentral.
ACGACGCUGGCGGCGUGCCUAACACAUGCAAGUCGAGCGGGAAGCCACCGAAUGAAGCUUCGGCAGAUUUUGGUGGUGGAGAGCGGCGGACGGGUGAGUAACGCGUGAGUAACCUGCCCAUAAGAGGGGAUAACAACCGGAAACGGUUGCUAAUACCGCAUAUUAUGCUUUUGUCGCAUGACAGAGGUAUGAAAGAUUUAUCGCUUAUGGAUGGACUCGCGUCCAAUUAGCUAGUAGGUGAGGUAACGGCCCACCUAGGCGACGAUUGGUAGCCGAACUGAGAGGUUGAUCGGCCACAUUGGGACUGAGACACGGCCCAGACUCCUACGGGAGGCAGCAGUGGGGAAUAUUGCGCAAUGGGGGCAACCCUGACGCAGCAACGCCGCGUGAAGGAUGAAGGUUUUCGGAUCGUAAACUUCUGUCGUAAGGGACGAAAUUUGACGGUACCUUACAAGGAAGCCACGGCUAACUACGUG